RNAcentral lists this ribosomal RNA (420 nucleotides) under bacterium. Its description in RNAcentral is "partial 16S ribosomal RNA". It matches the Rfam family "Bacterial small subunit ribosomal RNA", at positions 355 to 776 of the family's 1533-position model. The record is from RNAcentral.
UGGGGGAUAUUGCACAAUGGGCGAAAGCCUGAUGCAGCGACGCCGCGUGGGGGAUGAAGGCUUUCGGGUUGUAAACCUCUUUCGCUAUCGAACAAGGCCCGCUUAGGGUGGGUUGAGGGUAGGUGGAGAAGAAGCGCCGGCUAACUACGUGCCAGCAGCCGCGGUAAUACGUAGGGCGCGAGCGUUGUCCGGAAUUAUUGGGCGUAAAGGGCUUGUAGGCGGCUUGUUGCGCCUGCUGUGAAAACGCGGGGCUUAACUCCGCGCGUGCAGUGGGUACGGGCAGGCUUGAGUGUGGUAGGGGUGACUGGAAUUCCAGGUGUAGCGGUGGAAUGCGCAGAUAUCUGGAGGAACACCGAUGGCGAAGGCAGGUCACUGGGCCAUUACUGACGCUGAGGAGCGAAAGCAUGGGUAGCGAACAGG